Molecule: non-coding RNA, 30 nt
Filed under: Rattus norvegicus (Norway rat)
Lineage: Eukaryota; Metazoa; Chordata; Mammalia; Rodentia; Muridae
Source: RNAcentral
UGCCCAUUCCCAGGUCUCAAAUGUUCAUGC